This is a long non-coding RNA of Papaver somniferum (opium poppy), 1604 nucleotides long. RefSeq lists it as uncharacterized. The transcript has 6 exons. The record is from RefSeq and is a predicted model, not a curated record. NCBI's taxonomy places the organism in Eukaryota, Viridiplantae, Streptophyta, Magnoliopsida, Ranunculales, Papaveraceae.
CUCAAAGUGGAGGAAAAACAGAAAGAAUGUCAAGCUGCUUCACAGAAAAUGGAAGCAGAGAAGAAGAAGAAGAAAUGGCACCUCAAUUGCUUCACAGAGUACAGCAGUUCUAAUCAGGUUGUAAAAAUAUCUGUUUACUCAGUUUCUGAUGUGGAUGAUGAAAUAGACUACUCUAUCAAGCAAGAAUUAUGAUACAAAACUUGAUAAUAAAGAUGAGUUAUGGGUUCACAUGGAAAGAAAAGGUCGUGACGACUCGGAUGCUGUUCUUACUUGUCCAGCUUGUUUUAGUACCCUUUGUGUUGAAUGUCAAAGACAUGGAAAGUACCUCACGCUAUACAGAGCUAUAUUCAUCGCCAACUGAAAGAUCAAGAUUAAUCAAGUUCUGCGACCAAGUUAUCAAAAACCAAAGACCAGUAAUAACAAGUGGAAGAGAUGGUGGUGGAAUAGAUGAAGUGGGUGCCUCAACUAAGGAAACAUUUCAACCUGUGUGGUGCAUAGUAUUGCAACCUGAGGCGAAUGUACGAGGAAGCAGCAAAACUAGUGGGCUCUUUCUAGAGCAUUUUUGCGUACGGAGGAACAAGCAGUGGAGGACAUACCACGACUAAAUUUAUACUACGACUACAGGGAGAGGCAAGCACCAAGGAAUUCAUCUUUAAAUAUUCUACAAUGAAGCUGUCAGAGGCCUAGAACUGACUCCUGGACAACAAUAUUAAGUAGGAUGUCUAAUUAGAUUGGGCCACCGAAUAUUUUCCAGGACAUGGAAGUGCUGUGUUGCGAUUCCAAUAUUUCUUAUAGGGGCAACCUCAAAAAUGCGCCCGAAACUAGCCCUUGAUAGAGAGUGGUGGAGGAAAAAGAAGGAAUGGAGACUCAAGAUGCAGCAGCUUCACAGAAAAUGGAAGUAGAGAGGGCAAAAGAAGAAGAUGAAGAUGAAGAAGAAAUGUCAUCUCCAACUGCUUCACAGAAGACAGGCAUGAAAAGUACCUUACACAAUACAUAGCUGUAUUUGUUGGCAACUGCAAGAUCAAGAUUAGUCAAAUUCUGCGACGAAGUUAUCAUAAACCAAAAACCAGUGAUAAAGGUGGAAGAGAUCAUGGUGGAUAACCCAUUUGAAGACGACACUGGCCAAGAUUGGACAGAAGAAGCGAAAAGCCCAUCCAGCUGCUCUUGUCCUAGUAAAGAGACGCAACUCGCAUCUGUUUAUUCAGGUAUCAUUUGGUCUUCAGAUUCAUUGAUGAAGUGGGUGCCUCAACUAGGAAACAUUUUAGCCUGCGUGUUGCAUAUUUUGUUCAACAGAAGUUGGUGUCGUCGCCAAUGAUGAGGUUUAUCAUUUCUUCAUUAUUCUUCAUAGUUAGUUUACAUUUCAUAGAAACCAGAUACCUAUAAAUUCAUUUUUCUUAGUCCUGUUUCUUGUUUCCAUUGUUCAUCGUGUGAUUUUGGGUUCUAGAUCAAAAUAGUCAAUACUAGAUCUAGUUAUUGAUACGGCAGGAAGUUCUAGUUCUUUAUUAAAUAAUUGUCCUGAAAAACCAAAAACUCAGUAUAAUCUGGUUCCGGGUUGCCUGUCAUAAUCUCGCCUGGAGAUUAUAUUCUUCAACACUUUUCAUUUA